Molecule: transfer RNA, 76 nt
Filed under: Kiloniella spongiae
Lineage: Bacteria; Pseudomonadati; Pseudomonadota; Alphaproteobacteria; Rhodospirillales; Kiloniellaceae
Also listed under: 3 other names
Description: tRNA-Phe
Rfam family: tRNA
About the family: Transfer RNA (tRNA) molecules are approximately 80 nucleotides in length. Their secondary structure includes four short double-helical elements and three loops (D, anti-codon, and T loops).
Source: RNAcentral
GCCCAGAUAGCUCAGUUGGUAGAGCAGCGGACUGAAAAUCCGCGUGUCGGUGGUUCAAAUCCACCUCUGGGCACCA